Molecule: ribosomal RNA, 460 nt
Filed under: uncultured bacterium
Lineage: Bacteria
Description: partial 16S ribosomal RNA
Rfam family: Bacterial small subunit ribosomal RNA
Source: RNAcentral
CCUACGGGAGUCAGCAGUGAGGAAUAUUGGUCAAUGGCCGGAAGGCUGAACCAGCCAUGCCGCGUGAAGGUCAGUGCCCUAUGGGCGUUAAACUUCUUUUGUGCGGGAGCAAUAAUGGUCACGUGUGGCCAGACGAGAGUACCGUACGAAUAAGCAUCGGCUAACUCCGUGCCAGCAGCCGCGGUAAUACGGGGGAUGCAAGCGUUAUCCGGAUUUAUUGGGUUUAAAGGGUGCGUAGGCUGUGAGGUAAGUCAGCGGUGAAAUGCCCCCGCUCAACGGGGUGAAGUGCCAUUGAUACUGCCUUGCUGGAAUGCGGAUGCCGUGGGAGGAAGGUGUGGUGGAGCGGUGAAAGGCAUAGAUAUCACACAGAACACCGAGUGCGAAGGCAUCUCACGAAUCCGCGAUUGACGCUGAUGCACGAAAGCGUGGGUAUCAAACAGGAUUAGAUACCCCUGUAGUC